Long non-coding RNA from Papaver somniferum (opium poppy), 1248 nucleotides. RefSeq lists it as uncharacterized. The record is from RefSeq and is a predicted model, not a curated record. The transcript is spliced from 3 exons. Lineage: Eukaryota; Viridiplantae; Streptophyta; Magnoliopsida; Ranunculales; Papaveraceae.
UAUCAUUUUCUUCUCCCUUCUUCUCUCUGGUUCGUCUAAAUCAAUUUUUUGUUGUGCUAAAAUCAAGAGAAAACAUGGGGAUUUUUAUCAAAUCAAACCUAAUUAACGUUUAUCGUGGUUGUUUAGUAGAAUCAUCAGAUAGAAUAUUUAGUGGUUUGAGUGUUUGAGAAUAUUAAGGUGAGGUUUGAGUGUCUGUGACAGAUUAGGAAGAUGGGUUGAUGUUAAAUUUAGAAUCUAAUGCAUGGUAGGAGAUUCAGGGGUUCAUGAAUCACCAGCAAGUGCAUUUCACGAAUCACCAGCAAGGUGUUUGAGAAAAUGCGUGAGAAACAAGUUCUUCGUGAGACGUCGUUUCUUUCCACAGUAAAGCCAUUUUAAGAGUCGAUUCUCUUGAGAUUUGUUCACAUGGAGGGAUGAUUAACUGAAAUUUAUGGUUUUAGGUUCCCAGACGAGACGGUGGUGCUGUUGAGCAAAGAAGAAAGAGUCUAAGUUUCUGCUGCUGCUGGUGAAAUUGGUGGAAGAAGGAGAUGGAUCUGGUGGCAGUAACGAGUAUCUGAAACUGGUAGUGAGAUGGGAUUUGAGGUUGUUGUUGCUAAGCAGAGAAGUGGUGACUGUGCAUCUGACAAGAAUACGAGAGCAACAUCUGACAAGAUUUGAGAACUUUGAAUUAGAGAUUAUGAGAUGAAAGGGCUUAAGAUAGUGCAACAAGGUGCUACCAUUCAGCAGAAGUACAUAUACGAGAAGGUUUUCAAUCUUAUAAAGGUGCAUUUUUUGGCCCUUUCAUAUAUAUCAAUUGGAGAAUGCAUUUCUCUUCGUACUUAUAAAGGAGGCUUGGAACAAAUUCAACUCAGAGGAGUUUUAAUACUGAAGGCUUCACAUAUGUUUUCCACAUAAACAGUGCCACGUGUGAAUGAAAUGGGACGUGUACAAAGUUUGCCACCUAUGCAGUUCCACGUAUACAAUGUGCAUUGACGUGUACGGGUCAACCCGUCUAGUUGGGUUCCAGUUGCCGAUUCAAAGGACUAAUAAGUCUCUUUAGGUACACUUAACGGUGCUAACUUUUCGUCCACUAAUUUUGGUCAAAUAAGGCCUAGCUUUGUAAGAUAUAAAAAAAUAGGCUUAGUUUUGUAAACCAAAAAAAAAAACAGGCUAGAUUUGUACAAAGCCCUUGUUUUUACAAAAAUUUGCUAAGUUAAAAGCAUCCAUGUUUUCAGAACGUUGGAUGAUAUUAAGAUUCAAAAGAACAAAAGA